Molecule: ribosomal RNA, 253 nt
Filed under: uncultured bacterium
Lineage: Bacteria
Description: partial 16S ribosomal RNA
Rfam family: Bacterial small subunit ribosomal RNA
Source: RNAcentral
UACAGAGGGUGCAAGCGUUAAUCGGAAUUACUGGGCGUAAAGCGUGCGCAGGCGGCUUUGCAAGACAGAUGUGAAAUCCCCGGGCUCAACCUGGGAACUGCAUUUGUGACUGCAAGGCUAGAGUACGGCAGAGGGGGAUGGAAUUCCGCGUGUAGCAGUGAAAUGCGUAGAUAUGCGGAGGAACACCAAUGGCGAAGGCAAUCCCCUGGGCCUGUACUGACGCUCAUGCACGAAAGCGUGGGAAGCAAACAGG